UGGAUCCAGACUUUGAUUAUGGCUCAGGACGAACGCUGGCGGCGUGCCUAACACAUGCAAGUCGAACGGAGAAUUUUAUUUCGGUAGAAUUCUUAGUGGCGAACGGGUGAGUAACGCGUAGGCAACCUGCCCUUUAGACGGGGACAACAUUCCGAAAGGAGUGCUAAUACCGGAUGUGAUCAUCUUGCCGCAUGGCAGGAUGAAGAAAGAUGGCCUCUACAAGUAAGCUAUCGCUAAAGGAUGGGCCUGCGUCUGAUUAGCUAGUUGGCAGUGUAACGGACUACCAAGGCGAUGAUCAGUAGCCGGUCUGAGAGGAUGAACGGCCACAUUGGGACUGAGACACGGCCCAAACUCCUACGGGAGGCAGCAGUGGGGAAUCUUCCGCAAUGGACGAAAGUCUGACGGAGCAACGCCGCGUGAGUGAUGAAGGAUUUCGGUCUGUAAAGCUCUGUUGUUUAUGACGAACGUGCAGUGUGUGAACAAUGCAUUGCAAUGACGGUAGUAAACGAGGAAGCCACGGCUAACUACGUGCCAGCAGCCGCGGUAAUACGUAGGUGGCGAGCGUUGUCCGGAAUUAUUGGGCGUAAAGAGCAUGUAGGCGGCUUAAUAAGUCGAGCGUGAAAAUGCGGGGCUCAACCCCGUAUGGCGCUGGAAACUGUUAGGCUUGAGUGCAGGAGAGGAAAGGGGAAUUCCCAGUGUAGCGGUGAAAUGCGUAGAUAUUGGGAGGAACACCAGUGGCGAAGGCGCCUUUCUGGACUGUGUCUGACGCUGAGAUGCGAAAGCCAGGGUAGCGAACGGGAUUAGAUACCCCGGUAGUCCUGGCCGUAAACGAUGGGUACUAGGUGUAGGAGGUAUCGACCCCUUCUGUGCCGGAGUUAACGCAAUAAGUACCCCGCCUGGGGAGUACGGCCGCAAGGUUGCAACUCAAAUGAAUUGACGGA
This 941-nucleotide ribosomal RNA is filed under the name uncultured Bacillota bacterium. RNAcentral describes it as "bacterial SSU rRNA". It matches the Rfam family "Bacterial small subunit ribosomal RNA", at positions 1 to 917 of the family's 1533-position model. The record is from RNAcentral. Lineage: Bacteria; Bacillati; Bacillota.